CUGGUUGAUCCUGCCAGUAGUGAUAUGCUUGUCUCAAAGAUUAAGCCAUGCAUGUCUGAGUACAGACCGAUCUAAGGUGAAACCGCGAAUGGCUCAUUAAAUCAGUCAUAAUUCCUUGGAUAGUGAAAAAUUUCCUCGGAUAACUGUGGAAAAUCCAGAGCUAAUACGUGCAACUGAGCUCCGACCUCGGCGCGAGCCUUGGGAAGAGCGCAUUUAUUAGAUUCAAAACUGACCGGCGUAGUCCUUCGGGAUGCGCCGUUUGUCGAAAGUUUGAUGACUCCGGAUAACUUAGCCGAGCGCUACGGUCCUAGUACCGGCGCCGUAUCUUUCAAGUGUCUGCCUUAUCAGCUUUCGAUUGUAGGUUAAACGCCUACAAUGGCUGUAACGGGUAACGGGGAAUCAGGGUUCGAUUCCGGAGAGGGAGCCUGAGAAACGGCUACCACAUCUAAGGAAGGCAGCAGGCACGCAAAUUACCCACUCCCAGCCCGGGGAGGUAGUGACGAAAAAUAACGAUGCGAGACUCUUCCGAGGCCUCGCAAUCGGAAUGAGUCCAUUUUAAAACUUUGGACGAGGAUCCAUUGGAGGGCAAGUCUGGUGCCAGCAGCCGCGGUAAUUCCAGCUCCAAUAGCGUAUAUUAAAGUUGCUGCGGUUAAAAAGCUCGUAGUUGGACUUCCUAGAUCCAUUUCGCGAACGGGUCGCUCGUCGAUCUAACGUCUAGCGUCAGUUGCUCGACGACGUCACUUCAAUCGUACGAGGGGAUCGUGGGCGUGCUUCUUUCUUUCGGGAUUGAGUCGUCUCGUUCUUCUCUACGGGAGUGUUUCGGAGUCUCGCGGACGGUUAGUCGUUGUCUUCGGGUAUCGCUCGCUCGCGUUUGGUAAAAUUAAAAUUUUGUCGGCUCGCUCGGAGUGCUCUUUACCGAGUGUUCCAGGGUGGCCGACACGUUCACUUUGAAAAAAUUAGAGUGCUUAAAGCGGGCUCUUACGUGGCCUGAAUGUCUGUGCAUGGAAUGAAGUAACAGGACCUCGAUUCUGUUCUUUUUGUCGGUUUUAUUGAACCGAGGUAAUGAUUAAAAGGGACAGACGGUGGCAUUAGUAUUGCGGCGCUAGAGGUGAAAUUCUUGGACCGCUGCAAGACUAACUACUGCGAAAGCAUUUGCCGAGAAUGUUUUCAUUAAUCAAGAACGAAAGUUAGAGGAUCGAAGGCGAUCAGAUACCGCCCUAGUUCUAACCCUAAACUAUGCUAACUAGCGAUCCGCCGGAGUCAUUCCCACGACCCGGCGGGAAGCCCCAGGGAAACCAAAGUCUUUGAGUUCCGGGGGAAGUAUGGUUGCAAAGCUGAAACUUAAAGGAAUUGACGGAAGGGCACCACCAGGAGUGGAGUGCGGCUUAAUUUGACUCAACACGGGAAACCUCACCAGGCCCGGACAUCAUAAGGAUUGACAGGUUGAGAGCUCUUUCUCGAUUUGAUGGGUGGUGGUGCAUGGCCGUUCUUAGUUGGUGGAGUGAUCUGUCUGGUUGAUUCCGAUAACGAACGAGACUCUACCCUACUAACUAGUCGGCGGAUCGUAACCCUGAGAUGGUUAGUUGGUAUAGGGCGGUUCAGCCUAGGCGUUGGUUCCUCGAUUUUUGCGUGGCGUUAGAUUAUUUCGCCCUGGUUGCUUUUCGGAGUGAUCGGGUAGUGUUUGUGGUCUUUCGUUCGGGUCGUGUUGGGCUGCGUCGAAGCUUCCGUCUGAUUGCUGCUACUGCUGGGGGCGUCCGUCGCAUUGUAUCUUCUUAGAGGGAUCAGCGGCGUAUAGCCGCACGAGAAAGAGCAAUAACAGGUCUGUGAUGCCCUUAGAUGUUCUGGGCCGCACGCGCGCUACAAUGUAGAGAUCAGCGUGCUUUCCCUCUCCGAAAGGAGCGGGUAACCCGUUGAAACCCCUACCCGAUUGGGAUUGGGGAUUGCAAAUAUUUCCCAUAAACGAGGAAUUCCCAGUAAGCGCUAAUCAUUAAUUAGCGCUGAUUACGUCCCUGCCCUUUGUACACACCGCCCGUCGCUACUACCGAUUGAAUGAUUCAGUGAGGGCAUCGGACUGGCGCCUUCGGUUUAGUAACAUAGACCUUAGGCUGACGGAAAGAUGUCCGAACUUGAUCAUUUAGAGGAAGUAAAAGUCGUAACAAGGUUUCCGUAGUGAACCUGCGGAAGGA
This 2186-nucleotide ribosomal RNA is filed under the name Tytthocope sp. MR-2008. RNAcentral describes it as "SSU rRNA". It matches the Rfam family "Eukaryotic small subunit ribosomal RNA". Lineage: Eukaryota; Metazoa; Arthropoda; Malacostraca; Isopoda; Munnopsidae. The record is from RNAcentral.